This 1560-nucleotide long non-coding RNA is filed under the name Pelobates cultripes (western spadefoot toad). The record is from RNAcentral. Lineage: Eukaryota; Metazoa; Chordata; Amphibia; Anura; Pelobatidae.
UACAUUCCACUAUAUUUUGAUUAUGUUUAUAUAUGUUUUUGAAUAUAAGUACCGGUAUUUGAAAUUUUAUGUAAAAUUACAUUUUAAUACAAAUAUAAAAAGCUGUGUUUUUUUUUUUUGUUUGUUUUUUUUUUUUUUGAUUAAAGUUUUACUUUUCAUCACACAUUUAUGCAGGAUCUUUUUCAGUUUAUUUUAUUCACUUUUUACUCAAAUAAUAUAAAAUAUGACUGCCAUAUGAGUGGAAAGCCUUUCAAAAUCUGAAGGAAAAUGCACAUAUUGCAUAAUUACAUAAAAGAUCAUAUGGCAUUAAUUUUAACGAGCCAUGAAUCCAUCUAGUUUAAGACAACAGCUAUUAGUAGAAAUUGGUAUAACUGCUGGUUUGCUAGCUGCUCAUUUGUGAAAUUAUUUCAAGAUUAACUGCAUUUGUUUUUUGAUAUUCAUUUUUUAAAGGUGCAAUGAGCAGUAUUAGUAUUGAUGACCCAUCAAUAUUGGGGCACUGUGAGGUAACACAAUAUCGUCAUAUGGUGUAACCAAAUUCCCACGUUUGGUAAAAUAGGUGAUUUUAAGUAGCCUUGUAAGAUUUAAAACAUUUUAUUUAUUUUUUUGGUAUGUGUUGUUCCUUAGUCUGUAUUUUGCAUAUAUGAAUGUUCUAGGUGUGUAGAAUUAAGAACAAGUGGUGCUGAGUAAUAAAAUAAAAAAAAAUAAAAAAAUCACAACUAGGGCCUUCCAAUAUAUGCAUGAACUGUAUAUUCACAACUCCUAUCACAAUGUAAUGCAAUUAUACAUAAAUCAUAGUUUUCACUUCUUACACAUUAGAAGCCACAUUAGAAUAAUCAUGAAUGCACCUUUCAGACAACAUUGACAAUAUGUACCAAAACACAAGCAGGUGCUACACUUGGAAAAGUCGUAAAUAACAGGAAAACGCCUUGAAGCAGAAUGGAGGUCAUGUAUAAAAAGUAUAGUAUCCAGUUGUUCCUAUUUAUUCUCUGCUUUGUUUCAUAAAUGUUCUCUUUGCUCCUUUUCUGUCAGUUUUCUCCUGUUGCGGUUUUUAAAUUUUUAUUUUUUAUUUUUUUUUGUUUCACAAGUGCAUUUCUUCAAAAAUAUAUAACAGAAGCAUAAACGUGUAACUUUGAUAAAUGUUCCCAGUACUGUCAGUUUUUGUAGGAAAAAUAGUCUGUUUGUUAUUCCUUAUAGUUUAAACCAGUGGUUCCCAACCCAGUCCUCGAGUACCCCCUAACAGUCCAGGAUUUAGGGAUUACCCAGUUGUGUGUGUUUUUUUUUUUUUUGUUUUUUUUUGGAAAAGGGAAAAAAAAAACUUUAGAUACAACAGGGUAAUCCCUAAAUCCUGGACUGGGUUGGGAACCACUGGUUCAUGCUGUCGGGGUUAUGGUGCCCUGGGAUGCCCUUCAAUGUAAGUACUCAAAGAUUUUUAUAAUGGUGCCAUCAUACAUUGGAUGCUGCUGGGCUCUGCUUCCUGACUCCACUGCAGCCUGUGCUAAGCACAGCAGUUCGUAUCGUCUCAUUGGCUGAGAGUGAUCAGCUGAUGCUCUCAGCUAGUGA